ACAAACUUGGUCAUUUAGAGGAAGUAAAAGUCGUAACAAGGUUUCCGUAGGUGAACCUGCGGAAGGAUCAUUAUCGAGGUUCAAUGCGUCUGAGCUGGCUCCGGCAAGUGCUCGACGCCUCGUCCACUCAACCCUUGUGCACCUGAGAAGGGCGGCGGGGUCGAAAGACCCUCUGCCGCGCUUCGACCCUUUACACAUACACUCUUGUCUUUUGAAUGUACAUGCUUCGCUUCGGCGAAUAGAAACAAAUACAACUUUCAACAACGGAUCUCUUGGCUCUCGCAUCGAUGAAGAACGCAGC
RNAcentral lists this unclassified non-coding RNA (301 nucleotides) under uncultured fungus. RNAcentral's name for it is "partial contains small subunit ribosomal RNA, internal transcribed spacer 1, and 5.8S ribosomal RNA". The stretch from base 1 to 73 matches the Rfam family "Eukaryotic small subunit ribosomal RNA", at positions 1759 to 1831 of the family's 1831-position model. Lineage: Eukaryota; Fungi. The record is from RNAcentral.